GACUAAGGUUCGACUCGAGCGAAGCGAGAGAACGUUGCCGCAGGCAACGGCCCGAAGGGCGAGGCGCUUUAGCGCCGAGUAAUCCUUCCCCCACCACUG
Molecule: small RNA, 99 nt
Filed under: Klebsiella pneumoniae
Lineage: Bacteria; Pseudomonadati; Pseudomonadota; Gammaproteobacteria; Enterobacterales; Enterobacteriaceae
Also listed under: 1 other name
Description: partial RtT sRNA
Rfam family: RtT RNA
About the family: This family represents a bacterial cis-regulatory element known as RtT RNA. The exact function of RtT is unknown although it is thought that it may be involved in changing the cellular response in relation to amino acid starvation.
Source: RNAcentral